ACUCUGUGAGCCCUCUAACCCCACAGGUGGCGUGGGGAGCUCUUCUAGAUGCAAUUUGAGCCACUGAUUCUGCAAGACUUGGAAAGCUCUGUAUUUCUACACUUCCCAGCCACAGCAGCAGGACGUAGGCAAAGCCUGCGUGUGCACAAACAUGCAGACGUCCGUGCGCACGCACCAAACACACGUGCACACCAUCGUGUGCAAAUUAUCUGUCUUCCAUUUGUGUUUGGCUUGGCUGCACAGCCUGCUCUCUGUGGGCUCAGCCAGUGGAUAUCCCGGCUCAGAUAAACAGCAGACAGCUGCUGGGAGUCAGAGAUAUUCUGGUGAUUAACAGCUGUGUGGAUCUAUGCAGCAGAGCCCCCCGACCCCUGUGAGCCCUCCUGAACAGGCUGUUUCUUUUCAGAUUUCUGUUUGUCAGGGGAAGGCUGGAAGUGAUCAGAGGAGAUUCUCUGUGAAAGUCACAGGUGGGAAACCCGGUGAGAAAAAGCUGCAGCCCCAAAUCCUGUCCCUUCCUCACCACAGCAGUGUUCGAGCUUUGCCAAUGGCUCCUGCACGGCACUGCAGUGCCAACGGCAACAACAAGACUGCUCAGCCCAAGCUUUCCUGAAUUCCCUAAGAUGGCAUGGGAUGCAGAGUUGAUCAUUUCCAAAGACCUGGGGACAUCCCAGUACGGUGCUGUGGUUGGAAGGAGGGCUUCUUUCUGCUAGAGAAGGGAGCAGAAAGGGAUGGAAAUCCAUCCCUGGUGUGGGAUGCCUUACUUACAAGCCAAAGGCUUUUUGAUGGAUGAAGGGGGUGAGAAGUAGGAAGUUGCUCACAAUGCGACUAUAAAAACAAAGUCAAGAGAUUAGUUAAUAAUGUGUGGUCUGAGAAAACAAACACGUCUUUCCAUAAAGACCCUAGUUCAAAUAAACCAGUGCUGUUGUCGUUAAGCCUCGCCAUCUGCACGCCUCUUCUCCACUGGGUCCAGUGUGAAAUUUAAAGGGACCACUGAGUGGAGGAAGAGUCCCCACACAUCAUCCUGUGGGGCACUUCAAAUCC
Long non-coding RNA from Gallus gallus (chicken), 1038 nucleotides. Lineage: Eukaryota; Metazoa; Chordata; Aves; Galliformes; Phasianidae. The record is from Ensembl.